CCCAGACUCCUACGGGAGGCAGCAGCGAGGAAUAUUGGUCAAUGGGCGAGAGCCUGAACCAGCCAAGUCGCGUGAAGGAUGACGGCCCUACGGGUUGUAAACUUCUUUUGUCAGGGAGCAAUUGGGUCCACGCGUGGGCUUAGCGAGAGUACCUGAAGAAAAAGCAUCGGCUAACUCCGUGCCAGCAGCCGCGGUAAUACGGAGGAUGCGAGCGUUAUCCGGAUUUAUUGGGUUUAAAGGGUGCGUAGGCGGUUUGAUAAGUUAGAGGUGAAAUGUCGGGGCUCAACCCCGAAACUGCCUCUAAUACUGUUGGACUAGAGAAUAGUUGCGGUAGGCGGAAUGUAUGGUGUAGCGGUGAAAUGCGUAGAUAUCAGGAGGAACACCGGCGGCGAAGGCGGCCUGCUGGACCGCUACUGACGUUGAGGCUCGAAAGCGUGGGGAGCGAACAGGAUUAGAUACCCUCGUACG
RNAcentral lists this ribosomal RNA (468 nucleotides) under uncultured bacterium. Its description in RNAcentral is "partial 16S ribosomal RNA". It matches the Rfam family "Bacterial small subunit ribosomal RNA", at positions 330 to 793 of the family's 1533-position model. The record is from RNAcentral.